Long non-coding RNA from Alligator sinensis (Chinese alligator), 1848 nucleotides. RefSeq lists it as uncharacterized. NCBI's taxonomy places the organism in Eukaryota, Metazoa, Chordata, Crocodylia, Alligatoridae. The record is from RefSeq and is a predicted model, not a curated record. The transcript is spliced from 3 exons.
AGCCAGGGGUCAGGACCCCGGCGCGCCGCAAGGGCUGCUCUGGCGGCGCCUCCGCCCACCGCGCCCGCAACUCUGCAAACAAACCCUUGGCGCCUUUCCUCCUCCCCUUGCAGAAAGGGUGGAAGUUUCCAGGCUGUCGGGCCUUAGAGCCGCACUGCUCCCACCCUGCAAGGCAGUGGGGUGCUGCUGCGGGCACCUAGGCCAGGGCACUCCCCCCCAUAGGGGUCUGUCUUGCUGCCUGAGGUGCCAGCUCUGAGCAGGGUCCAAGCUAGCAGAGGCUCUAGCAUCAUCGAUUUAAACACAGGUUGUUAAGACCCAGCUAUUCUUCAUCUCAUUGCUGAUAGAUUUCCACCUGGAGUCAGCAUCCAGAAUCAGAAGAACAGGAAUUUCUUUAAUAUCAACCAGUUAUGUUCCAAAUCCAAGAUGAUCUUCAGUAUGCUGACAGUUGUGUCACGUGUGCCCACUCAAGAGCUCUAGUUUACCUUUGAUUGCUUCUGUGAAGCAUAUGGAAUGCUUGGACUCACUGUCAGCUUCAUGAAAACCAAGAUACUUGACCAACACACUCCAAGCCAACAAUAAGGCAUUGAUUAUGUCUAGCAAACUUAUCUCACUAUGGUGGCAGAUAGAGGAGACAAAGGAAAAUAGCUUUGACUCAGCAUCACCAGGAUCUACUCCUUGCUUCCAGAACUAUUUGCUACAUCUGCAGGUGAACAUGCAUAUUGGAUCAGCCUCCUCAGUUAUGUACAGACUCACCAAUAACUCCCCUCUACUAUAUGAGGACAACAGUCUCUCAGAGGGACUGCUGAUGACCAAAAUCAGUAUUUCAACUAAACUUAGUAUUUUUUUUCUAACUGAGAAAAAUAUGUUUAUUCAUAUUCUCAGUUCUUACCUAUAUUACAAAAUGAUAGGUGAUGCUUUUAUUUUUUUACUAUAACUGUAUUAAAUGUUAUUUCUACUUGUUACUUAUGUCAAGCUCUAGUUCAAUGGAAAGGAACUCAAGUGCAAGAGAAUUUUUAAUUUUUUUUAUUAGGUAGAAUUAAUUUAAAUGUUCUGAAUACAUAUUAAAAUAUGUUUGUAUUUGCAUUUAAAGCAUUUAAUAAUCAAAAGAAGUAUUAUUGAUACUGUGGUAAUUGAAAUGAUUGUUCCUGAUUGCUGUGUCCUUCAAGAUUAAGAGCUGUUAGAGCUCAUCUUCUAACAACCAGCUUCUACUCGGAGACUAGAAGAAAACAUGCUAUCCUCCUUUUUCAAUUCUCAGUCAGUUUUGUUGGCUCUGAAUUAGCUAGUCAUUGAAUUGAACUAAGUAAACUAAAAUAAAAUAGUCUCUGCACCUGUAAAAUAGACUACUGCUACUUCUUGUUUAGUACUUCAUUUUAGCUGAUUAAUCUGUGAUUUCUGACAGUAUUAUGACUUCCUUUGAGCAAGCAUGUACUAUUUAUUUGUUGUUUAAUUUAAAUUAUUUUAAUUACUUUUGAUAUGUUUAGGGCCUAGCAUAGGUUGCUAUAAUUUCAGGUAUUAUAGGUUACUAUAAUUUUAAAUGGAUUUACUUAUUUAAAAGAGAAAAUAUUUUAAUAAAUCUGAUUUGGAGCUUUUUAUUAAAAAUUGAUUAUCAGUUACUCUGGAAAUGGUAUGGAAUCAUAAGUCAAAUUGCACUUGUAGUGUGAUUUUGAUGCAGUUGAUGGGAGUACAAAGCUUUUCUAAAGAUAAACUGUAGUUGCCUUUGGGGUGUGCAAAGAGACUGAUACUUGAAAGUAGAGAAGUGUUUAUAUCCUGUUUCUAACUAUUGUUACAGAGAGCAAAAAAUUACUGUAGACAGACAUGUUAAUUAUUAAAUGAAUGAGGAAAAAAUAA